AUACGGAGGGUGCAAGCGUUGCGCGGAAUCACUGGGCGUAAAGCGCGCGCAGGCGGGCUGAUAAGUUGGAUGUGAAAGCCUACGGCUCAACCGUAGAACUGCAUCCAAAACUGUCAGUCUAGAGUGUGGGAGAGGAAGAUGGAAUUAGUUGUGUAGGGGUAAAAUCCGUAGAGAUAACUAGGAAUACCAAAAGCGAAGGCAAUCUUCUGGAACACUACUGACGCUGAGGCGCGAAGGCGUGGGGAGCAAACAGGAUUAGAAACCCGGGUAGUCC
RNAcentral lists this ribosomal RNA (274 nucleotides) under uncultured bacterium. RNAcentral's name for it is "partial 16S ribosomal RNA". It matches the Rfam family "Bacterial small subunit ribosomal RNA", at positions 523 to 796 of the family's 1533-position model. The record is from RNAcentral.